RNAcentral lists this ribosomal RNA (497 nucleotides) under uncultured bacterium. RNAcentral's name for it is "partial 16S ribosomal RNA". It matches the Rfam family "Bacterial small subunit ribosomal RNA", at positions 28 to 507 of the family's 1533-position model. The record is from RNAcentral.
GACGAACGCUGGCGGCGUGCCUAAUACAUGCAAGUCGAGCGCUGAAGGUUGGUACUUGUACCAACUGGAUGAGCAGCGCACGGGUGAGUAACGCGUGGGGAAUCUGCCUUUGAGCGGGGGACAACAUUUGGAAACGAAUGCUAAUACCGCAUAAAAACUUUAAACACAAGUUUUAAGUUUGAAAGAUGCAAUUGCAUCACUCAAAGACGAUCUCGCGGUGUCUUAGCUAGUUGGUGAGGUAAAGGCGCAACAAGGCGAGGUUACAUAGCCGACCUGAGAGGGUGGUCGGCCACAUUGGGACGGUGACACGGCCCAACCGCCCACGGGAGGCAGCAGGAGGGAAUCUUCGGGAAUGGGCGGAAGUCUGACCGAGCAAGGCCGCGGUAGUGAAGAAGGGUUUCGGAUCGUAAAACUCUGUUUGUAGAGAAGAAAGUUGGUGAGAGUGGAAAGCUCAUCAAGUGACGGUAACUACUCAGAAAGGGACGGCUAACUACGUG